CGUUAUACUGUACGGCACCGUGAACAACUAAAAAUACGCGCUAAGCGCGUCCACCAGCAUCUCGAGAGGCCUUUUCAGCGGCCAGCUACUACACUGCACAGGACUGCGCGAAUAAUCUUGCUCACCACCCAUCAUUACCCCAGCACCGUACACUGCAUACACCCCAGAACCAAAAGGACCCCACGUUCUGGACGGAAAGCAAGGUGCCGGGCAGCUACACGAAAUCUAUCCGUGAUUUCCUGGAGAGCCGUCAAUGCAAAAAGCUCGAGCUUUCUCAGAAGAUGCUGUAUGUGACAAAAAAAGUACGAGGAUCUUGACGAUAACAAGCAGGCGGCUGGCAGAGGUUAAGGCCUGGCUUGGGUUCAAAUCCGCCUGCCGACCUCUCGGGGUGUUUGAGAGGUGAUGAAAUGGAAGGUGGCCCCCCAUCUUGUGGACGGUGGAGGGUGUGAUAUAAUCGACUUGCGAACUGACCAGGAACUAAGUUGACGCGCCGUUGAUCCGCUAGAUUUGGUUGGAUGCCGGUGGUGAGUUGCCAAACUCGAAUAGUACACUCUGAAGUCGGAUGGGUUGAGCGGAUUAGGGUGCCCCUCUAGCAGAGGAGAGCAGGGAACUGCCUCGGGAAGGAGGCCACUGGUGAAGCUUAACCACCCUGUAACAACGUCAACAAUAUUUUUGCGGCACAAAAAAGUAUUAGGACUCCUAAAAUAUCCAACACCUGGCAUUGCCCAUGCGGCAUCUUCCCAUAUUGAUAAUUGAUUAUGGUACCAAAUGAAAUCCAUUACAAGCAAUCAUUUUUGAACUGGAGAAGAAGUUUGCUUGUAGAUUUAAUUUCCUGGAGUACAUGAGGGGGCCCUACUUUUCAAUAAAUUGUUUUGUGGCCAGUUGGCCAUGUUGAGGUUCUCGGUCAGCAGCUCAGGUCCUCCUUGCCUCAGCAGCCCCCGGGCCUCGCCAGCAGCAGUGUCUCAAGUGGCUCGUUCGGAAGGUGCUCGCUGGGAGUGGGCUCCAUCCUCCUCGGCCCGGUGGCCCGGUGCCGUUUCCGCACAACGCUACCGUACUGGGACAGUGAAAUGGCCGAUACGUGGUUCUUGCCAACUGAACGCAACGAUGCAAAAGUAGAGCAUGACAUAAAACGGCUCAUAAGAAGGGCAUACAGAAUGCAUACAGAAGAAACAUACGAAAGGUACCGUACCAGGAUUUCGGUGCUUGCGGUCUUCCUCAACACACCACCAGCGGCUGUUUCCAUUGAACAAUGCACCAAGUAAGCUGAACUAAACAAGUUGUUACGUUGGAUCCGCAUCCGGACCCGCAUCCGCGGUGCUGUCCGCGCCCAAACGCGGUA
This 1339-nucleotide long non-coding RNA is filed under the name Volvox carteri. Its description in RNAcentral is "long non-coding RNA (VCAR_LNC002182)". Lineage: Eukaryota; Viridiplantae; Chlorophyta; Chlorophyceae; Chlamydomonadales; Volvocaceae. The record is from RNAcentral.